ACGGGUGAGUAACACGUAUCCAACCUGCCGUCUACUCUUGGACAGCCUUCUGAAGGAAGAUUAAUCCAGGAUGGCAUCAUGAGUUCACAUGUCCGCAUGAUUAAAGGUAUUUUCCGGUAGACGAUGGGGAUGCGUUCCAUUAGAUAGUAGGCGGGGUAACGGCCCACCUAGUCAACGAUGGAUAGGGGUUCUGAGAGGAAGGUCCCCCACAUUGGAACUGAGACACGGUCCAA
This 233-nucleotide ribosomal RNA is filed under the name uncultured bacterium. RNAcentral's name for it is "partial 16S ribosomal RNA". It matches the Rfam family "Bacterial small subunit ribosomal RNA", at positions 102 to 334 of the family's 1533-position model. The record is from RNAcentral.